UACGUAGGGGGGCGAGCGUUUGUCCGGAUUCAUUGGGCGUAAAGAGCUCGUAGGCGGCUGUUCAAGUCGAACGUGAAAACUCGGGGCUCAACUCCGAGCCUGCGUUCGAUACUGGACGGCUAGAGUCUGGUAGGGGGGCCUGGAAUUCCUGGUGUAGCGGUGGAAUGCGCAGAUAUCAGGAGGAACACCGGUGGCGAAGGCGGGGGUCCUGGGCCAGUACUGACGCUGAGGAGCGAAAAGCGUGGGGAGCAAACAGG
RNAcentral lists this ribosomal RNA (257 nucleotides) under uncultured bacterium. Its description in RNAcentral is "partial 16S ribosomal RNA". It matches the Rfam family "Bacterial small subunit ribosomal RNA", at positions 524 to 776 of the family's 1533-position model. The record is from RNAcentral.